Rhipicephalus sanguineus (brown dog tick) is the source of this 2473-nucleotide RNA transcript. RefSeq lists it as uncharacterized. The record is from RefSeq and is a predicted model, not a curated record. The transcript is spliced from 4 exons. Lineage: Eukaryota; Metazoa; Arthropoda; Arachnida; Ixodida; Ixodidae.
UUUGGUGUUUGUCACGCAGAUAUGAAAGCGGUCGUGGCGCUGCUGGCGGCCUGCUGCCUAGCAGCCUGCUGUGAUGCGGGACACAUCAUACCGUGGCUACACAUCAGCAAGAGUAUAUUCGUCAAACCGGUCAAGUACGUGUACAAGGAGAUCCCCAUCUACAAGACCAUACCGGUGUACAAGACCAUCCCCGUCUACAAGACCAUUCCCGUGGUGAAGGAGAUCAAGGUGAUCAAGGAGGUGCACAAGGACGAAUGGCAGGACGAGCACAAGGAUGAGUGGCAGGACGAGCAGCCCACGUACUCGGAUGGCUGGAAGCAGCAGUCCGGAGGCGGAGGUGGUGGCUGGGCAUCACCGGGAGGAUGGGAGUCUUCUGGACCGUGGGAGUCCAAGCCGUGGGAGUCAAAGCCUUGGGAGUCCAAGCCGUGGGACUCGGGGCACCCAGUGGAAGCGGAAGUGCACCACGAGGAACCUCAAGCGCACCACGAGGAACCUGAAGUUCACCACGUGCACACGGAACACCACACAGUCAAGCACGUCUCGCUGCGAGACCUGCUGCCCAAGUGGAUCAGCCUCACAAUCGGGGUCCACAAGGACUGAAGGACGUAUCCCAAUCGAGUCAGAACCCUUCUGGCAGCUCUAUAAGCCAUGGCCAGCCUUUCAGAUGCGCCCGGGAGGUUUCCGGACGCAGUCAGCUGGCGCCUUGACCUGCACGCGUCUCGACAGCGGAAGAAGGAGUUGCACGUCCGGAAACCGGAUACCAAAGAUGAAAGGAACCCGGAUAGCGACUCCCUUCAACGAGAGCGAUUUGAAGUUUUUGCGGUGGCCUGCCCGAUGUACCCGAAAACUGUCGAGUGCGUGCCGGGCAUUCGAAUUCUCCACGGCCAAACAGAGACUCGAACAAAGCUGCACUGCGCGGCGUAAACCGCCGCACGCCAGUCACAUGCAGUCACAAAGGACACUAUGCCGUACUAGAGGACUGCAAGCCGACGACCCCAUAUUCCUAACAGCCAAAUAAUUCACCGUUAAGUCUUCGUCGAGUUAAUGUUGAAUCUUAGUAUAAACGUCAUUUCUGUUUACGUUACUUUUAACGCUGCACAAACUGCCAGGUACUGCUACACAAUGACCAGACGCCAGGACCUAGAGAGAAACCGAUCGUGGUAUUGACCUAUGUCGCUGACACGCGUCACGAGAAGGCAAGAGCCCAAGCCAGAAAUGUCGCGAUGAACUAGUGUGUACUUCAAGUGGCUAGCCAGAGCUUUAUGAACUGUGAGUGUACACUUUCCAGUAACUGAGAUAACGGAGGAUGAGGUCCGCUUUCGCGUUUAGCAGCAAAAAAUGGUGCGAUGAGUAUAAGCUAUUUGACUAGGUACAUUUGAGUGCUUUCAGACACACACAGUUCACGCAACUCCACACUUCAAUUAGUGCAAAGCGUGAAAGGGGCGGCUUCCAAACGUUUCACCUUUGUGUCGAAGCAGCAUAUGAAUUCACAAACAGCAGCGCAUUCUUCAAGUUUUAAAAAUGCCUUCUGAAUAGGAUGAGAUGCAAUCACAUACCAUAUCACAAAGCUCGCUAUAUAUUAGCGUCCCUCGACCUCAAAAGUAAAACGAGCGCAUGAAAGUCUUGAAAUUUGCGUGCAAUAACGAACGAAGAAAGACGUCGAUACUAGAAAGACAAAAGGAAAAGCUAGCUUGAGCUUCGAUGUCUAUCUCAACUGCAUGAUGAGCCUCCUCAAGGUAUCAAUAUCCUCAAGGUAUCAAUAUCUUCUUUUUCGUUAUCCUAUCAGAGACUGCGCAGGCGCAGUAGAAGAAAUUAUUACGACUCGCAUCUCGCACGAAAUUUUAGGCACUACGCGCUUUUCUACUACACUUACUACACUGUGAUAACACCACUCUACUUGGUGAAAGGUUAGUGCUUCGAAUAUUCUCCUGUAUCUGUACCUGACAUGUGAACACGUUUCACAGGGCUUUACGUGCUAACAAUACAACUUUCUGAGCGUGGGAAAGUCUUGACAAUGUGCCACGACAAACGCAUAUGUAGUUGCGCCAAACUGAUGCCUUAAAGAUAGCCACAUUGGUUAUUGCCAGUUAGUCUGCAUACGCUAAUCGAGCUAACUAGACAGUUAUAACACGCAUUUAAGGGCAGCACGAGUACCCUGCCGCGCCAAGCCUUCGCAUGCAGUGUGCGCCCGUGUUGAAAGGCUCCAUUGACGUAGAAACAAAAACGCGGCAUUUAGAACUGCGGUAAUGUUUAUACACACAUCGUUAGCAGUUUCCUCACGAAACGCCCAUCGUGCGCGUUUUAAGCUUUUCGAUUUAUUAUUUUUUGCAUAACUCCCGACUAGUCCUUCGCUCACCGUUUUCUGAGCGCCCCCUUGUCACGUGACUUUUUCUCCACGAACGUGUGCAUGUAACUAUACGAAAACGCGAAACAAAACGCCAAUAAUAAUAAAAAGCUCGGCAACGUGCCACCA